CCUACGGGUGGCUGCAGUGGGGCAUAUUGGACAAUGGGCGAAAGCCUGAUCCAGCCAUGCCGCGUGUGUGAAGAAGGCCUUCGGGUUGUAAAGCACUUCAGUGGGGAAGAAAGCCUUGGGGCUAAUACCCUCGAGGAAGGACAUCACCCACAGAAGAAGCACCGGCUAACUCCGUGCCAGCAGCCGCGGUAAUACGGAGGGUGCGAGCGUUAAUCGGAAUUACUGGGCGUAAAGCGCGCGUAGGCGGUCUGAUAAGCCGGUUGUGAAAGCCCCGGGCUCAACCUGGGAACGGCAUCCGGAACUGUCAGGCUAGAGUGCAGGAGAGGAAGGUAGAAUUCCCGGUGUAGCGGUGAAAUGCGUAGAGAUCGGGAGGAAUACCAGUGGCGAAGGCGGCCUUCUGGACUGACACUGACGCUGAGGUGCGAAAGCGUGGGUAGCAAACAGGAUUAGAUACCCUAGUAGUC
Molecule: ribosomal RNA, 464 nt
Filed under: Vreelandella stevensii
Lineage: Bacteria; Pseudomonadati; Pseudomonadota; Gammaproteobacteria; Oceanospirillales; Halomonadaceae
Description: partial 16S ribosomal RNA
Rfam family: Bacterial small subunit ribosomal RNA
Source: RNAcentral